CUUGCUUGGGGUACUCGAGUGGCGAACGGGUGAGUAAUACGUGGGUAACCUGCCCUCUUCUUUGGGAUAAGCCCCGGAAACGGGGUCUAAUACCGGAUAUUCUGCUUCUGCCGCAUGGUGGGGGUUGGAAAGGUUUUUCGGUGGGGGAUGGGCCCGCGGCCUAUCAGCUUGUUGGUGGGGUGAUGGCCUACCAAGGCUUCGACGGGUAGCCGGCCUGAGAGGGUGACCGGCCACAUUGGGACUGAUAUACGGCCCAGACUCCUACGGGAGGCAGCAGGC
This 279-nucleotide ribosomal RNA is filed under the name uncultured Arcanobacterium sp. RNAcentral's name for it is "partial 16S ribosomal RNA". It matches the Rfam family "Bacterial small subunit ribosomal RNA", at positions 76 to 354 of the family's 1533-position model. Lineage: Bacteria; Bacillati; Actinomycetota; Actinomycetes; Actinomycetales; Actinomycetaceae. The record is from RNAcentral.